CCUACGGGAGGCAGCAGUGAGGAAUAUUGGUCAAUGGACGCAAGUCUGAACCAGCCAUGCCGCGUGCAGGAAGACGGCUCUAUGAGUUGUAAACUGCUUUUGUACGAGGGUAAACGCAGAUACGUGUAUCUGUCUGAAAGUAUCGUACGAAUAAGGAUCGGCUAACUCCGUGCCAAGCCGCGGUAAUACGGAGGAUUCAAGCGUUAUCCGGAUUUAUUGGGUUUAAAGGGUGCGUAGGCGGUCGGAUAAGUUAGAGGUGAAAUCCCGAGGCUCAACUUCGGAAUUGCCUCUGAUACUGUUAGGCUAGAGAGUAGUUGCGGUAGGCGGAAUGUAUGGUGUAGCGGUGAAAUGCUUAGAGAUCAUACAGAACACCGAUUGCGAAGGCAGCUUACCAAGCUACGUCUGACGUUGAGGCACGAAAGCGUGGGGAGCAAACAGGAUUAGAUACCCGAGUAGUC
This 458-nucleotide ribosomal RNA is filed under the name uncultured bacterium. RNAcentral's name for it is "partial 16S ribosomal RNA". It matches the Rfam family "Bacterial small subunit ribosomal RNA", at positions 338 to 795 of the family's 1533-position model. The record is from RNAcentral.